UCUCGCACCUAGCGGCAGUCAUGGACCAGGAAAUUUUUCGAUUUAGAACAACUAGAACUGAUGUUCUCCGAUUAACAUCUUUAAGGACACUACAAAGUAACGAAUUACAUGAUACUAAUGAAAAGAAAAAUGGAAAAAAAAAAAAACAUUGGGUCCUCC
Molecule: long non-coding RNA, 159 nt
Organism: Rhodamnia argentea
Lineage: Eukaryota; Viridiplantae; Streptophyta; Magnoliopsida; Myrtales; Myrtaceae
Exons: 3
Source: RefSeq, a predicted model, not a curated record